Ochotona curzoniae (black-lipped pika) is the source of this 1407-nucleotide long non-coding RNA. RefSeq lists it as uncharacterized. The record is from RefSeq and is a predicted model, not a curated record. The transcript has 7 exons. Lineage: Eukaryota; Metazoa; Chordata; Mammalia; Lagomorpha; Ochotonidae.
UGACAGAGAUGGAGACACAGAGAGAUCGUUUGUUCACUCUGCAGCGCCGGAAACAGCUGAGAUUGCAUCAGGACAACGCUGGGAGCCAGAAACUCCACCAAAGUCUUCUGUGUAGCGAUGGGAACAUAAGGACAUCAGCGAAGUCACACUAAGGUGACGCUGGAUCAAAAGCAGAGAUUUCCUGGUUUGACCCACAUGGAUACAUCUCUAAGUUUCCUCUGCAGUGUCUCUGAGAGGUCAGAUCACCAACAGCACAACGAUCAAGAGCAUGAAGUGCAAACUCAGAAAUGCUUGAUUUCAAAUCCUAGCUCAACCUCCUCCAUAUGGCCUCGGACUGGGAGAGCUGCCAGGCAGAGCAGGCAGUGCACACUGAGAAGGCCCAGGAGCAGGUCUCUGCACGUCUCCUCGUUGAGGAGUUGAAUGACAAGGAACUUCAUCUCUGCUCAAGAGGCUAAAGGUCAGCAACCUGGUGUAAAGAUAUAUUGGGACAAUGGAUGAGACUUCAGGAGUAGUCUCCUGCCCUGAACCUGCAGAUUUCCAAGAGGAGUUUGCCGCUUGGAUUAGUAGGCCUCGCAUGACAUUCCUGGACUAAAAGAAACUGAGGUGCAGAGGGAUCACGUUACUUGUUGAAGAUUUCAGAGACGGAUGGUGACACAGAUGCACUGGUCAGGAACCUAAGUUGGGGGAAACAAAAGACUACAAUGGAUUCUAAGGCUCAAGCAAAUAGGAAGGCUACCAUGAAAGAUCAUUUUGGAUGCUCUACACUGCUCUGGUGGCACAUGAACAGGUAAAUACAACGGCAGACAGAUGAGAGCAGGUAGGUGACAGUGUAAUGAAUUCCAGAAGAAAUGGUGGACAAUGGGGACCUGUGGAAAGGAACUGUGAUACAGGUGGCUGUGCUUGGCAUCCGGGAACAGGAAAAGCAACCCCAAGACCUGAAGUACAUGUUUGUACAAAGGAACUUUCAGCCUGGUGAGGGGAUAGUAGCAGUUUGGGGAUUUAGGAUGGGGAACCUGGAACCCAACGUGGCUCGUAGACUUCCACGUGGAUGCUCAAGGAAACAGUGUUCUUAGAAAGUAGGGAAUCUUGGCGUGAAGCGGGGAGAUGGAAAGAGGAAUUUGGUUUUAGACAUGUCCUAUUCAAGGUCUUAAAGAAGUGCAGAAAUAAACAUGUUCUGUCCAAACCUGAAUUUCAAGUGGGUGGAGGGGUGUUCCGUACACUCGUGUGCUUUGGCCUCAUAGUGGAGCUGGGUUUGAUCUGCGCUGUGUAAUCUUCGUCCAGUGGAGUAACCUUCAGCUAUGCUAGUAGACUCCAGGCAACUCUGUUUUUCUCCUUUAUGAAACAAGUGAGUACACCAUUGACAUUCAUAGUUACAUAGAGGAUUUAACGAGAUACUGUGUGUUAACU